GGCAAGAUGGCCGAGCGGUCUAAGGCGCCAGCUUCAGGUCACAAAUUGUGUAAGAUGCUGGUCAAGAAAUUGGCGUGGGUUCGAAUCCCACUCUUGUCA
Molecule: transfer RNA, 99 nt
Organism: Verruconis gallopava
Lineage: Eukaryota; Fungi; Ascomycota; Dothideomycetes; Venturiales; Sympoventuriaceae
Rfam family: tRNA
About the family: Transfer RNA (tRNA) molecules are approximately 80 nucleotides in length. Their secondary structure includes four short double-helical elements and three loops (D, anti-codon, and T loops).
Source: Rfam